RNAcentral lists this ribosomal RNA (481 nucleotides) under uncultured Glomus. RNAcentral's name for it is "SSU rRNA". It matches the Rfam family "Eukaryotic small subunit ribosomal RNA", at positions 569 to 1048 of the family's 1831-position model. The record is from RNAcentral. Lineage: Eukaryota; Fungi; Glomeromycota; Glomeromycetes; Glomerales; Glomeraceae.
AGCAGCCGCGGUAAUUCCAGCUCCAAUAGCGUAUAUUAAAGUUGUUGCAGUUAAAAGCUCGUAGUUGAAUUUCGGGGUCAAUAAGUUGGUCAUGCCAAUGGUAUGUACUGGCUUUAUUGAUUCCUACCUCUUGACGAACUGUGAUGCCAUUAAUUUGGUGUUGCAAGGAAUCAGGACUGUUACCUUGAAAAAUUAGAGUGUUUAAAGCAAGCUUACGCUUGAAUACAUUAGCAUGGAAUAAUGAAAUAGGACGUUUGAUCCUAUUUUUGUUGGUUUCUAGGAUCGACGUAAUGAUUAAUAGGGAUAGUUGGGGCAUUAGUAUUCAAUUUGUCAGAGGGUGAAAUUCUUGGGAUUUAUUGAAGACUAACUACUGCGAAAGCAUUUGCCAAGGAUGUUUUCAUUAAUUCAAGACGAAAGUUUAGGGGAUCGAAGACGAUCAGAUACCGUCGUAGUCUUAAACCCAUAAAACCUAUGCCGACUA